Non-coding RNA from Albula glossodonta (roundjaw bonefish), 111 nucleotides. Lineage: Eukaryota; Metazoa; Chordata; Actinopteri; Albuliformes; Albulidae. The record is from the annotation of a GenBank genome assembly.
GUCAGGAUGGCCGAGUGGUCUGAGGUGCCAGGUGCAAGGUAUGUAGGCUUCUAUGAUAAUAGGUGUUCUGGUCUCCAGUUGGAUGUGUGGGUUCAGAUCCCAUUUCUGACA